GUCGAGAAUCUUUCACAAUGGGGGCAACCCUGAUGGAGCGACGCCGCGUGGAGGAUAAGGUCUUCGGAUUGUAAACUCCUGUCAUGCGUGAACAAGGUUGCUUGGUUAAUACCUGGGCAAAUUGAUGGUAACGCAAGAGGAAGAGACGGCUAACUCUGUGCCAGCAGCCGCGGUAAUACAGAGGUCUCAAGCGUUGUUCGGAAUCACUGGGCGUAAAGGGUGCGUAGGUGGCGUGGUAAGUCAGAUGUGAAAGCCCGGGGCUCAACCUCGGAACUGCAUCCGAUACUGCCAUGCUAGAGUACUGGAGAGGUGACUAGAAUUCUCGGUGUAGCAGUGAAAUACGUAGAUAUCGAGAGGAAUACCAAAGGCGUAGGCAGGUCACUGGACAGUUACUGACACUGAGGCACGAAGGCCAGGGGAGCGAACGGGAUUAGAUACCCGAGUAGUCC
RNAcentral lists this ribosomal RNA (449 nucleotides) under uncultured bacterium. RNAcentral describes it as "partial 16S ribosomal RNA". It matches the Rfam family "Bacterial small subunit ribosomal RNA", at positions 354 to 796 of the family's 1533-position model. The record is from RNAcentral.